CAGUGAUAAACUGGAGGAAGGUGGGGAUGACGUCAAGUCAUCAUGGCCCUUACGACCAGGGCUACACACGUGCUACAAUGGCGCAUACAAAGAGAAGCGACCUCGCGAGAGCAAGCGGACCUCAUAAAGUGCGUCGUAGUCCGGAUUGGAGUCUGCAACUCGACUCCAUGAAGUCGGAAUCGCUAGUAAUCGUGGAUCAGAAUGCCACGGUGAAUACGUUCCCGGGCCUUGUACACACCGCCCGUCACACCAUGGGAGUGGGUUGCAAAAGAAGUAGGUAGCUUAACCUUCGGGAGGGCGCUUACCACUUUGUGAUUCAUGACUGGGGUGAAGUCGUAAC
Molecule: ribosomal RNA, 340 nt
Filed under: Salmonella enterica
Lineage: Bacteria; Pseudomonadati; Pseudomonadota; Gammaproteobacteria; Enterobacterales; Enterobacteriaceae
Also listed under: 2 other names
Description: bacterial SSU rRNA
Rfam family: Bacterial small subunit ribosomal RNA
Source: RNAcentral